Molecule: ribosomal RNA, 495 nt
Filed under: uncultured bacterium
Lineage: Bacteria
Description: partial 16S ribosomal RNA
Rfam family: Bacterial small subunit ribosomal RNA
Source: RNAcentral
UCCUCCCUCUGGCGGCGUGCCUAAUACAUGCAAGUAGAACGCUGAAGGAGGAGCUUGCUUCUCUGGAUGAGUUGAGAACGGGUGAGUAACGCGUAGGUAACCUGCCUGGUAGCGGGGGAUAACUACUGGAAACGAUAGCUAAUACCGCAUAAGAGUAGAUGUUGCAUGAAAUUUGCUUAAAAGGUGCACUAGCAUAACUACCAGAUGGACCUGCGUUGUAUUAGCUAGUUGGUGGGGUAACGGCUCACCAAGGCGACGAUACAUAGCCGACCUGAGAGGGUGAUCGGCCACACUGGGACUGAGACACGGCCCAGACUCCUACGGGAGGCAGCAGUAGGGAAUCUUCGGCAAUGGACGGAAGUCUGACCGAGCAACGCCGCGUGAGUGAAGAAGGUUUUCGGAUCGUAAAGCUCUGUUGUAAGAGAAGAACGAGUGUGAGAGUGGAAAGUUCACACUGUGACGGUAUCUUACCAGAAAGGGACGGCUAACUACGUG